RNAcentral lists this ribosomal RNA (468 nucleotides) under uncultured bacterium. RNAcentral describes it as "partial 16S ribosomal RNA". It matches the Rfam family "Bacterial small subunit ribosomal RNA", at positions 28 to 507 of the family's 1533-position model. The record is from RNAcentral.
GACGAACGCUGGCGGCGUGCUUAACACAUGCAAGUCGAACGGAAAGGCCCUGCUUUUGUGGGGUGCUCGAGUGGCGAACGGGUGAGUAACACGUGAGUAACCUGCCCCUGACUUUGGGAUAACUUCAGGCAACUGGGGCUAAUACCGGCUAGGAGCUCCUGCUGCAUGGUGGGGGUUGGAAAGUUUCGGCGGUUGGGGAUGGACUCGCGGCUUAUCAGCUUGUUGGUGGGGUAGUGGCUUACCAAGGCUUUGACGGGUAGCCGGCCUGAGAGGGUGACCGGCCACAUUGGGACUGAGAUACGGCCCAGACUCCUACGGGAGGCAACGGUGGAGAAUAUUGCACAAUGGGCGGAAGCCUGAUGCAGCAACGCCGCGUGCGGGAUGACGGCCUUCGGGUUGUAAACCGCUUUCGCCUGUGACGAGGCGUGAGUGACGGUAAUGGGUAAAGAAGCACCGGCUAACUACGUG